RNAcentral lists this ribosomal RNA (630 nucleotides) under Picris rhagadioloides. RNAcentral's name for it is "eukaryotic LSU rRNA". The stretch from base 267 to 422 matches the Rfam family "5.8S ribosomal RNA". The record is from RNAcentral. Lineage: Eukaryota; Viridiplantae; Streptophyta; Magnoliopsida; Asterales; Asteraceae.
AAGGAUCAUUGUCGAACCCUGCAACGCAGAACGACCCGUGAACAUGUAAAUCCAACCGGGUGAUGUGGAGACGGGCUUUGGUCCUUAUCCCCAUCCCCUCCCAACGUGUUUUUGUGGUGCCUCUUUUGGGGUGCCAUAGAUGCAUGUUGGACUAACAAAACCCCGGCACGGCAUGUGCCAAGGAAAACAAAAAAUGAGAAGGACACGAACCUUGUUGCCCUGUUCGCAGUGUGCAUGUGGUUCGUGGACUCUUUGUAAUUACAAACGACUCUCGGCAACGGAUAUCUCGGCUCACGCAUCGAUGAAGAACGUAGCAAAAUGCGAUACUUGGUGUGAAUUGCAGAAUCCCGUGAACCAUCGAGUUUUUGAACGCAAGUUGCGCCCGAAGCCAUUUGGUCGAGGGCACGCCUGCCUGGGCGUCACGCAUACGCGUCGCCCCCAUCAUACAUACCCAACCGGUAGUCAUGGUGAUGGGGCGGAGAUUGGUCUCCCGUAAUUUCGGUUGGCCUAAAAAUGAGUCCCCUUCAGUGGACACACGACUAGUGGUGGUUUAACAGACCCUCGUUUUUCUCGUGUGUUGUGAGCUGCUAGGGAAGCCCUCAUCAAGACCCCAAUGUAUCGUUUUCGGAC